Etheostoma spectabile (orangethroat darter) is the source of this 108-nucleotide long non-coding RNA. RefSeq lists it as uncharacterized. NCBI's taxonomy places the organism in Eukaryota, Metazoa, Chordata, Actinopteri, Perciformes, Percidae. The transcript is spliced from 3 exons. The record is from RefSeq and is a predicted model, not a curated record.
GAUACUGAAAAGAACAGAACUGUACACUUUAACAUCUGUUUAUUUAUCGCAAGUAACAUUGUUAUCGGGAUCUUUAACAACGUUAUCGCAUAUUUCCCUUCGUUGUGU